This is a non-coding RNA of Myotis lucifugus (little brown bat), 74 nucleotides long. The record is from Rfam. Lineage: Eukaryota; Metazoa; Chordata; Mammalia; Chiroptera; Vespertilionidae.
GGUGGUUCUUGGGUGAUGCCCCUGGAAUUGGGCUCCCUCUUCUCUGGUUCUGGGUGGAUCACCCAAGAACACCA